Non-coding RNA from Picea glauca (white spruce), 123 nucleotides. NCBI's taxonomy places the organism in Eukaryota, Viridiplantae, Streptophyta, Pinopsida, Pinales, Pinaceae. The record is from Rfam.
AUGUAAAUGCCUACAACAUAGCGUUAAUGCACUCGAUCCCAUUAGAACUCCAUAGUUAAGUGCGCUCGGGAUAGAGUAGUACUGGGAUGGGUGACCACCCAGGAAGUCCUAGUAUUUUUCAUG